This 448-nucleotide ribosomal RNA is filed under the name uncultured bacterium. Its description in RNAcentral is "bacterial SSU rRNA". It matches the Rfam family "Bacterial small subunit ribosomal RNA", at positions 28 to 496 of the family's 1533-position model. The record is from RNAcentral.
GAUGAACGCUGGCGGCGCGCCUAACACAUGCAAGUCGAACGGCACCCCUCUCCGGAGGGAAGCGAGUGGCGAACGGCUGAGUAACACGUGGAGAACCUGCCCCCUCCCCCGGGAUAGCCGCCCGAAAGGACGGGUAAUACCGGAUACCCCGGGGUGCCGCAUGGCACCCCGGCUAAAGCCCCGACGGGAGGGGAUGGCUCCGCGGCCCAUCAGGUAGACGGCGGGGUGACGGCCCACCGUGCCGACAACGGGUAGCCGGGUUGAGAGACCGACCGGCCAGAUUGGGACUGAGACACGGCCCAGACUCCUACGGGAGGCAGCAGUGGGGAAUCUUGCGCAAUGGGGGGAACCCUGACGCAGCGACGCCGCGUGCGGGACGGAGGCCUUCGGGUCGUAAACCGCUUUCAGCAGGGAAGAGUCAAGACUGUACCUGCAGAAGAAGCCCCGG